Molecule: ribosomal RNA, 652 nt
Filed under: uncultured beta proteobacterium
Lineage: Bacteria; Pseudomonadati; Pseudomonadota; Betaproteobacteria
Description: bacterial SSU rRNA
Rfam family: Bacterial small subunit ribosomal RNA (bases 9-519)
Source: RNAcentral
AUGACCUGGCGGAAUGCUUUACACAUCGCAAGUUGAACGGCAGCACGGACUUCGGUCUGGUGGCGAGUGGCGAACGGGUGAGUAAUACAUCGGAACGUGCCCAGUCGUGGGGGAUAACGUAGCGAAAGCUACGCUAAUACCGCAUACGAUCUAAGGAUGAAAGCGGGGGAUCGCAAGACCUCGCGCGAUUGGAGCGGCCGAUGGCAGAUUAGGUAGUUGGUAGGGUAAAAGCCUACCAAGCCGACGAUCUGUAGCUGGUCUGAGAGGACGACCAGCCACACUGGGACUGAGACACGGCCCAGACUCCUACGGGAGGCAGCAGUGGGGAAUUUUGGACAAUGGGCGAAAGCCUGAUCCAGCCAUUCCGCGUGCAGGAUGAAGGCCCUCGGGUUGUAAACUGCUUUUGUACGGAACGAAAAGGUCCUGGUUAAUACCUGGGGCUCAUGACGGUACCGUAACGAAUAAGCACCGGCUAAACUACAGUGCCAGCAAGCCGAGGCACAUAUCACUAUAGGGUGUCGCACACGCUGUUACACCUCGGCGAAUUAACUAGGAGCGCUACAAAGCCGUUGCGCAUGGGCGGAUUGGAUAGUACAGACCACGAGUGUGAAAAUCCCCGGUGCCUCAACCUUGAGAACUGCCUUUGUGGACU